This is a long non-coding RNA of Cebus imitator (Panamanian white-faced capuchin), 522 nucleotides long. RefSeq lists it as uncharacterized. The record is from RefSeq and is a predicted model, not a curated record. NCBI's taxonomy places the organism in Eukaryota, Metazoa, Chordata, Mammalia, Primates, Cebidae. The transcript is spliced from 2 exons.
GCCAGGGUAGAGUACAAAUGGAGGCUUAUCUGCCAAAUACUUAGAUAUUUAAAAACUAGUGCAUAAAAUAAAUCCACUGUCCCACCUUGGCAAAUACAUUUUGGCAAUGACUUACUCUUUCCAGUGCUGGUUAAUAUGCCAAGCACACGCUUCCGGAAGCCCUCCCACCCUGGCGUCACCUGGAGGCAGCAGUGCCUGGCUGGAGCCGUCACUGAGUCGGGGGCGAGUGCCCACCAGCAAGCUGCGUCCUGUGGUCAUCCAGUCUUACUUACCUUAUAAUGAGAAAUGAAGAAUCCUGAGUAAUAAGGGAGACAUGCAGCUGAACCCCCUUCUGCUCCUCGAAUUCCUCCAUGCUAAUGGCGCACCUGUGGACGGUGCGUCUGAGAAGGAAGUGGUGACUGAGUAAACGUCUCUGAACGUGACCAGAUUAAUAAAAACCAGGGUGCUCCGAGGUGGCAGUGAAUACUCCUUUCCCAGAAUCUUAUGAGAAAACUCCAUCUAAAUAAAACACUUGGCAUUGUA